This 268-nucleotide unclassified non-coding RNA is filed under the name Hevea brasiliensis (rubber tree). Lineage: Eukaryota; Viridiplantae; Streptophyta; Magnoliopsida; Malpighiales; Euphorbiaceae. The record is from RNAcentral.
AAAAGGUUAUUGCUCUGGUUGCUGAGGUCAAUACUCUGCAGAAAGACAAGGAACAUUUGAGGACAAACCUCCAUAAAGCAGAAGACGAGGUGAACGUAUUGUUUGAUCAAAACAAUGUUUUGGAUGAGGCCAAUAAAAGGCUGAUAAGGCUGUACCAGAAAGAGAAACACACACCUGGUUCUGGUGGAAAACCUUCUUCCGGCAAGGGCAACAAAAGGAAAUCAAGCCCCAAGAUAAGCAGUCCAGUGGAGGGAAAACUUGAUUUCAG